AAACUGGUGGAAACUGCUCUGGAU
Molecule: non-coding RNA, 24 nt
Filed under: Arabidopsis thaliana (thale cress)
Lineage: Eukaryota; Viridiplantae; Streptophyta; Magnoliopsida; Brassicales; Brassicaceae
Source: RNAcentral